This 75-nucleotide transfer RNA is filed under the name Rhizoctonia solani AG-1 IB. Its description in RNAcentral is "tRNA-Asn". It matches the Rfam family "tRNA". From Rfam's summary of the family: Transfer RNA (tRNA) molecules are approximately 80 nucleotides in length. Their secondary structure includes four short double-helical elements and three loops (D, anti-codon, and T loops). Lineage: Eukaryota; Fungi; Basidiomycota; Agaricomycetes; Cantharellales; Ceratobasidiaceae. The record is from RNAcentral.
UCUUCCGUGGCGCAAUCGGUGGCGCGUCUGACUGUUAUCAUCAGAAGGUCAACAGUUCGAUCCUGUUCGGAAGAG